UACGAAGGGUGCAAGCGUUACUCGGAAUUACUGGGCGUAAAGCGUGCGUAGGUGGUGAGUUAAGUCUGUCGUGAAAGCCCCGGGCUCAACCUGGGAAUGGCGAUGGAUACUGGCUCGCUAGAGUGCGGUAGAGGAGAGUGGAAUUCCUGGUGUAGCGGUGAAAUGCGCAGAUAUCAGGAGGAACACCGGUGGCGAAGGCGGGUCUCUGGGCCGAUACUGACGCUGAGGAGCGAAAGCGUGGGGAGCAAACAGG
RNAcentral lists this ribosomal RNA (253 nucleotides) under uncultured bacterium. RNAcentral's name for it is "partial 16S ribosomal RNA". It matches the Rfam family "Bacterial small subunit ribosomal RNA", at positions 524 to 776 of the family's 1533-position model. The record is from RNAcentral.